Molecule: long non-coding RNA, 982 nt
Filed under: Homo sapiens (human)
Lineage: Eukaryota; Metazoa; Chordata; Mammalia; Primates; Hominidae
Description: non-protein coding lnc-IGLL1-1:62
Source: RNAcentral
GUGUGAGAUGGCCCAGCUCCAGGAUGAAACUCAACUUUAGGGAAGCUGGGGAGAGCCUCACAGCGCUGGACAAGCCAUCAGAUGGCACUGCCCCCAGGGACACACCCGGGGGCGUGGACAGGGAUAUGGAGGACCUAAGGCAAAGGGUGGCUUCAAACGUGACAGCAGAUCAGCCGCUGGGGAAAUACCAGAGGGGAUUUGACAGCUGGGCCAGGUGUUCCAGGACAGCACUUUCCAAAAGAUUUUCCAUCCAAACUUCCAGCAAGAAGUAGAUCUUCCAUCGUUAUCCAGAGCAUAUCUACGCAUUCAGAUGAAGAAAACAACACUGACAUGCAUUAUCUCCCAACACCAACCUCAACCCAGCCCUGGAGUGUGAGCAGAGCCAGCAGCAUUUCCAGCCCCGCCUCUGGAGGAAGGAGAGGAACCUGAGACUCUUGGGUGACCUGAGGCGUCUCUGGCAGCACCAGCAAAAGAGCCUGGCCCUGGCCGCCCAGCACAGGUGCUCAGUCCCUCCUGACUGCCACUGCUCCCUCAACACCAAAGCACAGGGUCGCGAGAUGUUGGGAGAGGGUCGGGGAUGCUGGGCUGGGAGAGGACCGGGGGCCUGUCAGAAGCCAUGACAUGAUGCACUCACCGCUCAGGAGGAAGCUACUGGCCUUUGAGUGAAAUCUAUAAGAAUGAACUCUGGAGAUGUAUCGUACAACAUGGAGUCUACAGUUAAAAACUGUAUUGUAUACUGGAAAAUUGCUAAGAUUAGAUCUUCCAUGUUCUCACUACAAAAGCAUAAGUAUGUGAGAUGACGGACGUGUGUGUCAGCUUGAUUUAAUCAUUUUGCAGUGUGGCAAAGCAUCGCACUGUAGGUGGUAAAUAUAUAUACAGUUUUGUCAAUUAUACCUUCAGGAAGCUGGGGUGGUUGGUGUGUGUGUGUGUGUCUGUGUGAUGUGAGGUCAGUGAGGUGCUGAACAUGGUGCAUUAAACAGCA